CCUACGGGAGGCAGCAGUGGGGAAUAUUGCACAAUGGGGGAAACCCUGAUGCAGCGACGCCGCGUGAGUGAAGAAGUAUUUCGGUAUGUAAAGCUCUAUCAGCAGGGAAGAAGCAAGACGGUACCUGACUAAGAAGCCCCGGCUAACUACGUGCCAGCAGCCGCGGUAAUACGUAGGGGGCAAGCGUUAUCCGGAUUUACUGGGUGUAAAGGGAGCGUAGACGGUGAUGCAAGUCAGAAGUGAAAGCCCGGGGCUCAACUCCGGGACUGCGUUUGAAACUGUGUGACUGGAGUGCAGGGGAGGUAAGCGGAAUUCCUGGUGUAGCGGUGAAAUGCGUAGAUAUCAGGAGGAACACCAGUGGCGAAGGCGGCUUACUGGACUGUAACUGACGUUGAGGCUCGAAAGCGUGGGGAGCAAACAGGAUUAGAUACCCUUGUAGUC
RNAcentral lists this ribosomal RNA (441 nucleotides) under uncultured bacterium. RNAcentral describes it as "partial 16S ribosomal RNA". It matches the Rfam family "Bacterial small subunit ribosomal RNA", at positions 338 to 795 of the family's 1533-position model. The record is from RNAcentral.